This 327-nucleotide long non-coding RNA is filed under the name Setaria viridis. Its description in RNAcentral is "long non-coding RNA (SVIR_LNC005955)". Lineage: Eukaryota; Viridiplantae; Streptophyta; Magnoliopsida; Poales; Poaceae. The record is from RNAcentral.
CCUUCUUGCUUUCUCCAGCUGCUUUCUCUUGUUUCGUCAUUUUUUCAUUUUUUUUCUUCUAUGCUUGCUUUUUUUCUUGUGUUUUGUACAGAUUUGUUCGCGGUAGGGGAGCUCGCGGGCAGUCCCCGGUGCUCCUCAACCCUAGGCCCAAGCUGCGGACCGGCGCUACUCCGCGGCAUGGAUGACACUGCAGAAGCAGGCGGCGGAGGACGGAGCCAUUGCCGCGGCGCGCGACGUGGAGUAGCGGCUGGACGCACCCCGGUCAGGCUCUGCUCCGCGGCGUGGAUGAUGCUAAAGAAGCAGGUGGCGUAGGACGGAGCUGUUGCC